RNAcentral lists this ribosomal RNA (465 nucleotides) under Vreelandella stevensii. RNAcentral's name for it is "partial 16S ribosomal RNA". It matches the Rfam family "Bacterial small subunit ribosomal RNA", at positions 338 to 795 of the family's 1533-position model. The record is from RNAcentral. Lineage: Bacteria; Pseudomonadati; Pseudomonadota; Gammaproteobacteria; Oceanospirillales; Halomonadaceae.
CCUACGGGAGGCAGCAGUGGGGAAUAUUGGACAAUGGGCGAAAGCCUGAUCCAGCCAUGCCGCGUGUGUGAAGAAGGCCUUCGGGUUGUAAAGCACUUUCAGUGGGGAAGAAAGCCUUGGGGCUAAUACCCUCGAGGAAGGACAUCACCCACAGAAGAAGCACCGGCUAACUCCGUGCCAGCAGCCGCGGUAAUACGGAGGGUGCGAGCGUUAAUCGGAAUUACUGGGCGUAAAGCGCGCGUAGGCGGUCUGAUAAGCCGGUUGUGAAAGCCCCGGGCUCAACCUGGGAACGGCAUCCGGAACUGUCAGGCUAGAGUGAAGGACAGGAAGGUAGAAUUCCCGGUGUAGCGGUGAAAUGCGUAGAGAUCGGGAGGAAUACCAGUGGCGAAGGCGGCCUUCUGGACUGACACUGACGCUGAGGUGCGAAAGCGUGGGUAGCAAACAGGAUUAGAUACCCCAGUAGUC